GGACGAACGCUGGCGGCGUGCCUAAUACAUGCAAGUCGAGCGGACUAAAAGGGGCUUGCUCCUUUUAGUUAGCGGCGGACGGGUGAGUAACACGUGGGCAACCUGCCCGUAAGAUCGGGAUAACUUCGGGAAACCGGAGCUAAUACCGGAUAACACCGAAGACCGCAUGGUCUUUGGUUGAAAGGCGGCUUUGGCUGUCACUUACGGAUGGGCCCGCGGCGCAUUAGCUAGUUGGUGAGGUAACGGCUCACCAAGGCGACGAUGCGUAGCCGACCUGAGAGGGUGAUCGGCCACACUGGGACUGAGACACGGCCCAGACUCCUACGGGAGGCAGCAGUAGGGAAUCUUCCGCAAUGGACGAAAGUCUGACGGAGCAACGCCGCGUGAGCGAAGAAGGUCUUCUGAUUGUAAAGCUCUGUUGUUAGGGAAGAACAAGUACCGUUCGAAUAGGGCGGUACCGUGACGGUACCUAACGAGAAAGCCACGGCUAACUACGUGCCAGCAGCCGCGGUAAUACGUAGGUGGCAAGCGUUGUCCGAAU
RNAcentral lists this ribosomal RNA (541 nucleotides) under Bacillus sp. SSCA23. RNAcentral's name for it is "bacterial SSU rRNA". It matches the Rfam family "Bacterial small subunit ribosomal RNA", at positions 27 to 550 of the family's 1533-position model. Lineage: Bacteria; Bacillati; Bacillota; Bacilli; Caryophanales; Bacillaceae. The record is from RNAcentral.